GACGAACGCUGGCGGCGUGCCUAAUACAUGCAAGUAGAACGCACAGUUUAUACCGUAGCUUGCUACACCAUAGACUGUGAGUUGCGAACGGGUGAGUAACGCGUAGGUAACCUGCCUGGUAGCGGGGGAUAACUAUUGGAAACGAUAGCUAAUACCGCAUAAUAUUAAUUAUUGCAUGAUAAUUAAUUGAAAGGUGCAAUUGCACCACUACCAGAUGGACCUGCGUUGUAUUAGCUAGUAGGUGAGGUAACGGCUCACCUAGGCGACGGUACAUAGCCGACCUGGGAGGGUGAUCGGCCACACUGGGAACGAGACCCGGGCCAGACUCCUACGGGAGGCAGCAGUAGGGAAUCUUUGGCAAUAGGCGAAAGGCUGACCGAGCAACGCCGCGGGAGUGAAGAAGGGUUUCGGAUCGUAAAGCUCUGUUGUAAGAGAAGAACGGGUGUGAGGGUGGAAAGUUCACACUGUGACGGUAUCUUAACAGAAAGGAACGGCUAACUACGUG
RNAcentral lists this ribosomal RNA (505 nucleotides) under uncultured bacterium. RNAcentral describes it as "partial 16S ribosomal RNA". It matches the Rfam family "Bacterial small subunit ribosomal RNA", at positions 28 to 507 of the family's 1533-position model. The record is from RNAcentral.